GCCUUCGUGGUGUAGUGGUCUGCAUGCUCAACGCAUAACCGAGAGGUCCGUGGUUCGAUUCCCGGUGAAGACG
Stegodyphus mimosarum is the source of this 73-nucleotide non-coding RNA. NCBI's taxonomy places the organism in Eukaryota, Metazoa, Arthropoda, Arachnida, Araneae, Eresidae. The record is from Rfam.